AAACGGCCGCGUUAGCGUGAGCGUGCUAAGGUAGCGUAAUAAUUAGCCUUUUAAUUGAAGGCCAGUGAAUGGCAAGACUAGGAACACCUUUACUUUGCAUGUAGAAAAAACUUUUCAUCUAAGUGAAAAACCUUAGAUAAUAAAGGUAGACGAAAAGACCCCGCGGAACUUUACCUUCUCUUGUACUAUCAUACACCAAUUCUAAGCACUCAAGGUUUGAUUGGGGCAAUCUUGGAACCAACAAAACUUCCAAUCUCUCGAAUAAGCCUAUUUAAAACUUAUUAAGGACUAAAAAGAAGUUACCCCGGGGAUAACAGCGUAAUCCAAUUCGAGAGUACAUAUCGAAAGUUGGGUUUGCGACCUCGAUGUUGGCUUAAGGAUAUCCACAUAAGUGCAAC
Molecule: ribosomal RNA, 398 nt
Filed under: Lasmigona costata
Lineage: Eukaryota; Metazoa; Mollusca; Bivalvia; Unionida; Unionidae
Description: partial 16S ribosomal RNA
Rfam family: Bacterial large subunit ribosomal RNA
Source: RNAcentral